AACAACGGAUCUCUUGGUUCUGGCAUCGAUGAAGAACGCAAGCGAAAUGCGAUAAGUAAGUGUGAAUUGCAGAAUUCAAGUGAAUCAUCGAAUCUUUUGAACGCACAUUGCGCCCCUUGGUAUUCCAUGGGGCAAUGCCUGUUCGAGCCGUCAUUU
This 156-nucleotide ribosomal RNA is filed under the name Leptosphaeria sp. MH-2001. RNAcentral describes it as "5.8S ribosomal RNA". It matches the Rfam family "5.8S ribosomal RNA". Rfam says of the family: 5.8S ribosomal RNA (5.8S rRNA) is a component of the large subunit of the eukaryotic ribosome. It is transcribed by RNA polymerase I as part of the 45S precursor that also contains 18S and 28S rRNA. Lineage: Eukaryota; Fungi; Ascomycota; Dothideomycetes; Pleosporales; Leptosphaeriaceae. The record is from RNAcentral.